GAUGAACGCUAGCUACAGGCUUAACACAUGCAAGUCGCGGGGCAGCAUGGGGGUUGCUUGCAAUCCCCGAUGGCGACCGGCGCACGGGUGAGUAACGCGUAUCCAACCUGCCCUUCACCACGGGAUAACCCGGCGAAAGUCGGACUAAUACCGUAUGUUGUCCAUUGACGGCAUCCGAUUUGGACGAAAGGCUUGGCGGUGAGGGAUGGGGAUGCGUCCGAUUAGCCAGACGGCGGGGUAACGGCCCACCGAGGCUACGAUCGGUAGGGGUUCUGAGAGGAAGGUCCCCCACACUGGAACUGAGACACGGUCCAGACUCCUACGGGAGGCAGCAGUGAGGAAUAUUGGUCAAUGGGCGUAAGCCUGAACCAGCCAAGUAGCGUGCAGGAUGACGGCCCUAUGGGUUGUAAACUGCUUUUAUGCGGGGAUAAAGUGGCCCACGUGUGGGCUUUUGCAGGUACCGCAUGAAUAAGGACCGGCUAAUUCCGUG
RNAcentral lists this ribosomal RNA (490 nucleotides) under uncultured bacterium. Its description in RNAcentral is "partial 16S ribosomal RNA". It matches the Rfam family "Bacterial small subunit ribosomal RNA", at positions 28 to 507 of the family's 1533-position model. The record is from RNAcentral.